CAUCAGCAUGAAAAGAAUCCUUUGCCCAGGCGGGAGAUUAGGGUGGUCAGCAGGAAUCCCUGCACCCGAAAUUCAGAUCAGAAUGGGAAUGGUGGGGAACCGAGCGGGAGGGGCUGGUUUUGCUCACCUUCAGGAAAAGCACUGCUGAAAGCUGAUUUGUAGUAUAUUGAUCUGAAUGGUAUUUACACCUGAGUGCAACUGCCUUGAA
This 208-nucleotide long non-coding RNA is filed under the name Parus major (Great Tit). Its description in RNAcentral is "lncRNA (ENSPMJG00000012575.1)". Lineage: Eukaryota; Metazoa; Chordata; Aves; Passeriformes; Paridae. The record is from RNAcentral.